UGGGGAAUAUUGGACAAUGGGCGCAAGCCUGAUCCAGCAAUUCCGCGUGGGUGAAGAAGGUCUUCGGAUUGUAAAGCCCUUUCGACGGGGACGAUGAUGACGGUACCCGUAGAAGAAGCCCCGGCUAACUUCGUGCCAGCAGCCGCGGUAAUACGAAGGGGGCUAGCGUUGCUCGGAAUUACUGGGCGUAAAGGGCGCGUAGGCGGUUUUUUAAGUCAGAUGUGUAAUCCCCGAGCUCAACUUGGGAACUGCAUCUGAGACUGGAAGGCUAGAGUACCGGAGAGGAAAGCGGAAUUCCCCGUGUAGCGGUGAAAUGCGUAGAUAUGGGGAGGAACACCAGUGGCGAAGGCGGCUUUCUGGACGGUGUCUGACACUGAGGCGCGAAAGCCAGGGGAGCGAACGGG
RNAcentral lists this ribosomal RNA (404 nucleotides) under uncultured bacterium. RNAcentral describes it as "bacterial SSU rRNA". It matches the Rfam family "Bacterial small subunit ribosomal RNA", at positions 355 to 776 of the family's 1533-position model. The record is from RNAcentral.